RNAcentral lists this transfer RNA (73 nucleotides) under Candidatus Nomurabacteria bacterium. RNAcentral's name for it is "tRNA-Thr". It matches the Rfam family "tRNA". Rfam says of the family: Transfer RNA (tRNA) molecules are approximately 80 nucleotides in length. Their secondary structure includes four short double-helical elements and three loops (D, anti-codon, and T loops). Lineage: Bacteria; Candidatus Nomuraibacteriota. The record is from RNAcentral.
GCCGACUUAGCUCAGUAGGUAGAGCAACGGUAUCGUAAACCGUAGGUCCCGAGUUCGAAUCUCGGAGUCGGCU